Non-coding RNA from Ictidomys tridecemlineatus (thirteen-lined ground squirrel), 72 nucleotides. The record is from Rfam. Lineage: Eukaryota; Metazoa; Chordata; Mammalia; Rodentia; Sciuridae.
GGGGCUGUGGCUCAGUGGUAGAGCUCUUGCCUAGCACGUGCAAGGUGCUGGGUUCAGUCCUCAGCAUCACCU